GACGAACGCUGGCGGCGUGCUUAACACAUGCAAGUCGAACGAUGAAGCCGGAGCUUGCUCCGGUGGAUUAGUGGCGAACGGGUGAGUAACACGUGAGCAAUCUGCCCUUGACUCUGGGAUAACUGCGGGAAACUGUAGCUAAUACUGGAUACGACACCUUGGGGCAUCCCAGGGUGUGGAAAGAAUUUCGGUCAAGGAUGAGCUCGCGGCCUAUCAGCUAGUUGGUGAGGUAAUGGCUCACCAAGGCGAAGACGGGUAGCCGGCCUGAGAGGGUGACCGGCCACACUGGAACUGAGACACGGUACAGACUCCUACGGGAGGCAGCAGUGGGGAAUAUUGCACAAUGGGCGAAAGCCUGAUGCAGCAACGCCGCGUGAGGGAUGAAGGCCUUCGGGUUGUAAACCUCUUUUAGCAGGAAAGAAGCGAAAGUGACGGUACCUGCAGAAAAAGCACCGGCCAACUACGUGCCAGCAGCCGCCGUAA
This 483-nucleotide ribosomal RNA is filed under the name uncultured bacterium. RNAcentral describes it as "partial 16S ribosomal RNA". It matches the Rfam family "Bacterial small subunit ribosomal RNA", at positions 28 to 523 of the family's 1533-position model. The record is from RNAcentral.